GACGAACGCUGGCGGCGUGCUUAACACAUGCAAGUCGAACGGAAAGGCCCUGUUCUUGUGGGGUGCUCGAGUGGCGAACGGAUGAGUCACCCGUGGGUAACCUGCCAUUGACUUGGGGAUAACUCCAGGAAACUGGGGCUAAUACCGGAUAGGAGCUCCUGCUGCAUGGUGGGGGCUGGAAAGUUUCGGCGGUUGGGGUCGGACUCGCGGCUUAUCAGCUUGUUGGUGGGGUAGGGGCUUACCAAGGCUUUGGCGGGUAGGCGGCCGGAGAGGGUGACCGGCCACAUUGGCUCGGAGAGACGGCCCAGACUCCCACGUGAGGCAGCAGGGGGUAAGAUUGCACAAGCGGCGGGAGCCAGAUGCAGCAACGCCUCGCGCGGGAUGACAGCCUGCGGGUUGUAAGCCGCCUUCGCCUGUGACGAAGCAUGAGUGACGGUAAUGGGUAAAGAAGCACCCGCCAACUACGGUC
This 469-nucleotide ribosomal RNA is filed under the name uncultured bacterium. RNAcentral's name for it is "partial 16S ribosomal RNA". It matches the Rfam family "Bacterial small subunit ribosomal RNA", at positions 28 to 508 of the family's 1533-position model. The record is from RNAcentral.